Molecule: ribosomal RNA, 253 nt
Filed under: uncultured bacterium
Lineage: Bacteria
Description: partial 16S ribosomal RNA
Rfam family: Bacterial small subunit ribosomal RNA
Source: RNAcentral
UACGUAGGGUGCAAGCGUUGUCCGGAAUUAUUGGGCGUAAAGAGCUCGUAGGCGGUCUGUCGCGUCUGCUGUGAAAACUCAGGGCUUAACCUUGAGCUUGCAGUGGGUACGGGCAGACUAGAGUGCGGUAGGGGAGACUGGAAUUCCUGGUGUAGCGGUGAAAUGCGCAGAUAUCAGGAGGAACACCGGUGGCGAAGGCGGGUCUCUGGACCGAUACUGACGCUGAGGAGCGAAAGCGUGGGGAGCGAACAGG